GAUGAACGCUGGCGGCGUGCCUAAUACAUGCAAGUCGAGCGAACGGACGAGAAGCUUGCUUCUCUGAUGUUAGCGGCGGACGGGUGAGUAACACGUGGAUAACCUACCUAUAAGACUGGGAUAACUUCUGGAAACCGGAGCUAAUACCGGAUAAUAUUUUGAACCGCAUGGUUCAAAACUGAAAGACGGUCUUGCUGUCACUUAUAGAUGGAUCCGCGCUGCAUUAGCUAGUUGGUAAGGUAACGGCUUACCAAGGCAACGAUGCAUAGCCGACCUGAGAGGGUGAUCGGCCACACUGGAACUGAGACACGGUCCAGACUCCUACGGGAGGCAGCAGUAGGGAAUCUUCCGCAAUGGGCGAAAGCCUGACGGAGCAACGCCGCGUGAGUGAUGAAGGUCUUCGGAUCGUAAAACUCUGUUAUUAGGGAAGAACAUAUGUGUAAGUAACUGUGCACAUCUUGACGGUACCUAAUCAGAAAGCCACGGCUAACUACGUG
This 497-nucleotide ribosomal RNA is filed under the name uncultured bacterium. RNAcentral describes it as "partial 16S ribosomal RNA". It matches the Rfam family "Bacterial small subunit ribosomal RNA", at positions 28 to 507 of the family's 1533-position model. The record is from RNAcentral.